CCAACGGCCCUUUUCAGGGCCAAUAUAUACUUUUUUUAUUGAAAAU
Molecule: non-coding RNA, 46 nt
Organism: Trichinella pseudospiralis
Lineage: Eukaryota; Metazoa; Nematoda; Enoplea; Trichinellida; Trichinellidae
Source: Rfam